GGGUGGAUGCUCAAAGCAGACUGUGAUCUCAUGGAAAGCCUGCACUAGAGCAGAGUCCUGGCAGGAGCUGUGGAGAGCGGUGCUGACACAGGAGCAGGUUUGCUGAUGGGACUUGUGACCUCACAAGUUCCUCACACUGUUCCUGAAGGACUGACCCCAUGGGAGGGACCCACAAUGGGAUACCUUGUGAAGAACUGCAGCCAGUGGGAAGGACCCAUGUUGGUGAUAUUUGUGGAGGACUGUUUCCCAUGGGAAGGACCCCUGUGGCCUGGGAACAGGGACCAUCCCCAAGAGUCACACCAAAUGAAAGAUGGUUCAUUAAAAGAGUAACUAAAGCAGUUGCUCCUUUGCACACUCCAUGUUACUGCUCCCACUGAACACAGCACAGAGCUACACGGCAAAAAACCAAAUGCAUAUGAAAUUUCUCAGUGAGAAAUAAACAUGUGUGUAAAAGCUGUA
This is a long non-coding RNA of Passer domesticus (house sparrow), 459 nucleotides long. RefSeq lists it as uncharacterized. The record is from RefSeq and is a predicted model, not a curated record. The transcript is spliced from 2 exons. Lineage: Eukaryota; Metazoa; Chordata; Aves; Passeriformes; Passeridae.